CAUGGUCUAGCCAGUCUCAUCAGCAAAACGAAUUUUAGUUUGACCCCCCGAAACUGAGUGAGCUACUUCGAAACAGCCAAGAGCUAACCCGUCUCUGUUGCAGAAGAGUGGGAUGAUUUCCAAGUAGAAGUGACAAACUUACCGCACUUAAAGAUAGCUGGUUAUUCGAGAAAAGAAUAUAAGUUCAACCUUAAGUUUAUAAACUUAAGAGUUACUCGAAUAAGGCACAGCUUAUUCGAAAUAGGAUACAACCUACGACAUAGGGUAACAUCAAGUGGGCCUAAGAGCAGCCACCUUUAAAAAGCGUUAAAGCUUAAUACCUCCACAAACCUCCAACCCAUAAAUAAUAUCGAAUAACUCCAUAAAGUAUGGAAGAUAUAAUGCUAGAACUAGUAAUAAGAACUUUCUCCAAAAUGUAAGCUUAAGCCACACUAGACUAACUACCGGCGAUUAACGCACAUGAACCUAUCAUAAUAACUAGAAAAUACUAUGCACUUCACGUCAACCUUACACUAGAACACUUAUGGAAAGAUUAAAAGAGAGAGAAGGAACUCGGCAAACUACGGCCCCGCCUGUUUAU
This 580-nucleotide ribosomal RNA is filed under the name Spinomantis aglavei. RNAcentral's name for it is "partial 16S ribosomal RNA". The stretch from base 1 to 388 matches the Rfam family "Bacterial large subunit ribosomal RNA", at positions 614 to 1301 of the family's 2925-position model. Lineage: Eukaryota; Metazoa; Chordata; Amphibia; Anura; Mantellidae. The record is from RNAcentral.